Molecule: ribosomal RNA, 254 nt
Filed under: uncultured bacterium
Lineage: Bacteria
Description: partial 16S ribosomal RNA
Rfam family: Bacterial small subunit ribosomal RNA
Source: RNAcentral
UACGUAGGGUGCAAGCGUUGUCCGGAAUUAUUGGGCGUAAAGGGCGCGUAGGCGGUCAGCACAAGUCAGUUGUGAAAUCUCCGGGCUUAACCCGGAAAGGUCAACUGAUACUGUGCGACUAGAGUGCGGAAGGGGCAACUGGAAUUCUCGGUGUAGCGGUGAAAUGCGUAGAUAUCGAGAGGAACACCUGCGGCGAAGGCGGGUUGCUGGGCCGACACUGACGCUGAUGCGCGAAAGCCAGGGGAGCGAACGGG